GCCGUUGAUGUCUGCAAGUCUC
This 22-nucleotide microRNA is filed under the name Oreochromis niloticus (Nile tilapia). RNAcentral's name for it is "oni-miR-10783". The record is from miRBase by way of RNAcentral. Lineage: Eukaryota; Metazoa; Chordata; Actinopteri; Cichliformes; Cichlidae.